UGAGCGCCCGCUUAAGGAAGGCCACACACUACGUUUGCAGUUGGCAAACAAGUUGGGGUUUGUUUGUAAGUGCCAAUUAUGUGUGCCAAUUUCAACACGCGCGCAACGCCAGUACAGUGCUGCAGUUUCAAUUACGUGCGCAUUAGAGACAUCAUCGUAAAAAUAUAUAGUAAGAAAAAGAGUGGAGUAUAGAGGUGAUAGGAGGGUAAAACAGGUGAAACACAGGUAAUAUGCAAAUAUCUUGGGCCAUAAUGUGCCGAUAUUUUAGUGGUAUACUCUUCGAUUUACUUGGCUCUUAGUGGCCCGGUGUUACCAUCUUCAUUUGUUUUUAAUGAUUUUCGUGAUGAAGAUGUUGAAAUAAUCAUAGGAACAACUGACGAUGAUAGGUCAACGGGGCUGCCAAGAAAGGGCUCACUGAUCCAGUAAAUUGUAGACGUAAUUGCAAAGUAAAAAUUGCAUAGCCAAUAUUUUACGUGGACUACUCAUUUUGGAACGUCUGCAGCGAGAAGAAUGGCGCCACCGAUGAAAGAAGAUUCUAUAGGAUUCAACGGGGGUUGAUGAUGCAACCGCACAUUUGGAUUUCAUUCUCCACUUAACCUCGGUCACGAAACAGCCAGCGCUUCAUGUGGCAAGAGCCUCCCGGCGGGCAAAUUGAACGCCGAUACUCGACACGCGUCUGGCGUUUGUUAUUCGUGCCGACGACGAUAUACCCCUGGCACUGUUGCUAUAUAAAGAGCCUACUUAUCUGGAACAUGGGAAAAUAAAGUAAGUCGUUUUAUUGCUACUUCUUUUUUCUGAGUAUUUGAGGCGGAUGUUUACGUCAUUUGAUUUUUUGUGUGUGAAGGAAUUAAGAUCUUAAGUUCUUCUGUAAAGAUAUUUUGCUGUCACAAACUAAUUUAAUUUUGUAUUUCAACUUCUUUAAUCCAAAAAGGUAUUCACACUUAAUUUAGGUAGCAGAAGUGCGAGCAGCAGACCACACAGGUACUAACAAACAAAUCAAAUUAGAAUCGAUACACCAAGACGUGGAUAAUUGAAAAACAAACGAACCGCAAGACACACUUCUGUCAUUAUUUCGACCAGCUGCUAAUCUGAAAAUCGGAAAACCAAAUAAACUGUUGGUAAAGUGCCGUUGUUAAGCUGUGCAAACCAAUUUCGACUUCUCGUGUGAGACAUGGAAAGGAAAAGGCAAAAAUCAACUUCCACCGUAAAUCCACAAAUCCGGCUAGGCCGGCAUGUAAUGAAUGGGGACGGCCCACGUGUGCGAAAUGUAUCACUCCUUUUCUCCACUCAAAAGCGGAAUAAUAGUGCUCCACAUUUUGUCGAGUCCUUUCAAAAGUACUCCACACCUUUACAAUCAAACCCUUUACAAUUGCCUUCCCUUUUCAUUGACGACACGACCCCUUUUUGCGCUCAAUUGUUGAUUUCACACGAAAAGUCUAUAUUUGGACAGGCGGAGAAAGGGUUUUACACUGACGAGUAUGUGGAACAUCUAGGGUACAGUGGAGGGUCUUUUCAACCCCAUCGAUCUUUGCCAAUCUUAUGGUCGCCUAUGUGGAGCUUGUUGCACAGCGGUCGACUUUUUAACCGAGUGGGAGGUAUAGAAUUGAAGUUCUAUACUUUCCCUGCUUAUUCCAGACAUUGCAAGAAGAUGGGACUCAGGUGAACUGUAUGUAGAAGUGUGUCAGAAAGCCAAGCAUAUACCACCCACAUCGCUAUUUGUUUUCUUUUCGUUUUAGUUAACAGCUAGUAGAUCUUAUUCUCUUCUCUAUUUUUUUUAGAUUUCAUUUCCGGAGCCACUUGAAAUCUUCUGGAAAGCGAUACCUCGUCUAAAGAAUGGAAAGAAAAUGAAAAUCCCCCCUUUUUUUUUCAUUCAUUGAUUUGAGUUUUAUUUACGAUAAGGCUAUCAUCUAUAAGCAACACCUUUUUAAACGGAGUGUUCAUUUUUCCUUUCUAAUUUCACCAGGCAUCGAGAAAAAUGGAAUCACAGUCGCUAUGAAGAUAUGGGACGAGGUCCUUUUUCUUACCCAUUCAAAGGAGUAAAGAAAAAUGCGGAGGGGGGGUUCCGGCUAAACGGAAUCGAAUCAAUAAAUCAAUCAAGGUUGUUGAAGAAAGAUUUUGGAGGCCAAGAGAAGUAAAAGGAAAUGAGAUAAAACGAAAACCCUUUCCAACAAAUUGUAAUACUCCGCGGAUGGUAGGCAGGUCAUUACGUACUUCCUGGAUUAAAAAACAGUACGAUGAGUUCACAUGAGGCUUUUACACAUCAGCGUUGAUUUCAGCUCGAACAUCAUUCUUUUGAAAGAGUUUAAGAGUAAAGAAAAUCGAAAAAAAUAGACGAAUGGGGAGGAAAAAUGGGCACAUAAGAGGUAUCAUCAAUCGAUCCUAUCUUUCAGUGGCCGGCCACCUGGAGUUUCCAGGUCAAUCAAAAGUAAUUCACCUCACCGCAAUGCCAUGACUAAACCAAUUCCAAUAUAGGAUCCUAGGUCAAGGUAUUCUGCAUCCAGUUCACAUUGAUAUGGAUUUCAUUUAAUCCUGUUAUUUGGAACACCAUAACGUCAAGGAAUCGGGAAUAGUAUUCUUUGAUCGCUAUAAACAAAAUAUGUAUGUGUGGAUGUUGUGACAUCGUGCGGUACUGUCACGCUCAUAUAUCAGGUUCGAGUCUUAACAUAUCUGAUUUUUAAUGCGCUUGUCACUGUUAAUACCAUUUAAAACCCUGUUAAUUACUGGGCUUUUAAUAUUAAUGAAGAUAUGCGAUGUAGGUUAUUGUAGUCCAUCUACCGUGACUCGUAUAUUGGGGACAAUGUUUAUUAGACAUAAAUUGAAUGUAAUGAAAGGCCACCUUUGGGAUCAGCUUACUGUGUGAUUGAUAUUUU
Molecule: long non-coding RNA, 2870 nt
Organism: Daphnia magna
Lineage: Eukaryota; Metazoa; Arthropoda; Branchiopoda; Diplostraca; Daphniidae
Exons: 3
Source: RefSeq, a predicted model, not a curated record